CAAACAUACCUAAACCUACACACGUAGGUAUUUCUUAAGUUACGCGAAUUUUGUCAGCUAAGAAAAAUGAAGUGUGUUAAUAUAGUUACGAAUUUUAUCAUUUUGCUAACAAGUUUUGCUGCACAUGCCAAAGAAGAAGCAUUACUCACUCAUCUGCCAAGAAACAACAUAGAACACGUCAACACUGGCGAUUGGGCAGUUGCCUGUCCUGCAGAAACAACGCAAGAAAGCGAUUUCGUUCAGAAAUAUUCAUUGUCGAAAAAUGCCCUAUUUGUGAAAAAAACGUACCCGGCGAAUACCGAUCUAUCGGCAAUUGAAACUAAUGUUUGUGAGAACCCUCAUAAGAUUUCUUUGGCGUAUAAAAUCGAAAAUUUGACUUUUCAAUUUGGUUACGAGAUUUAUUAUAACUCGAAACAAAAGCUCCAUUUCAAACAUUGUACAACAAAAAAUUACAAAGACUAUAAAUCAGCGAAGGAUGCAAUUGACUCCACAAAGACAACAUUCAACAGAGGAAUAUUUCAUGCCAUACAGUAUGUUUUCAGUUUUUCACGAACUUUAACAAACGCGAUUGGAAUAAGCAGCGACAAGUUGUUCCUCAAUGAAGA
This is a long non-coding RNA of Planococcus citri (citrus mealybug), 605 nucleotides long. RefSeq lists it as uncharacterized. The record is from RefSeq and is a predicted model, not a curated record. The transcript is spliced from 3 exons. NCBI's taxonomy places the organism in Eukaryota, Metazoa, Arthropoda, Insecta, Hemiptera, Pseudococcidae.